This 29-nucleotide non-coding RNA is filed under the name Mus musculus (house mouse). The record is from RNAcentral. Lineage: Eukaryota; Metazoa; Chordata; Mammalia; Rodentia; Muridae.
UGCUAAUAGCUUUUUGAUGUUUUCGCUCA